GCUCUAUUAGUUUAUAUUAAUAAAAUGUAAGUUUGAAGCACUUAAGAAUAUAAGGAGUU
Molecule: transfer RNA, 59 nt
Filed under: Panagrellus redivivus
Lineage: Eukaryota; Metazoa; Nematoda; Chromadorea; Rhabditida; Panagrolaimidae
Description: tRNA-Phe
Source: RNAcentral